GUGCUCGCUUCAGCAGCAUGUAUACUAAAAUUGGAACAAAAUGGCCCCUGCACAAGGACGACAUGCAAAUUUGUGACUUUUUUUAUUUUUAU
RNAcentral lists this small nuclear RNA (92 nucleotides) under Tinamus guttatus (white-throated tinamou). Lineage: Eukaryota; Metazoa; Chordata; Aves; Tinamiformes; Tinamidae. The record is from RNAcentral.